Molecule: ribosomal RNA, 253 nt
Filed under: uncultured bacterium
Lineage: Bacteria
Description: partial 16S ribosomal RNA
Rfam family: Bacterial small subunit ribosomal RNA
Source: RNAcentral
UACGAAGGGGGCUAGCGUUGCUCGGAAUCACUGGGCGUAAAGCGCACGUAGGCGGAUUGUUAAGUCAGGGGUGAAAUCCUGGAGCUCAACUCCAGAACUGCCUUUGAUACUGGCGAUCUUGAGUCCGGGAGAGGUGAGUGGAACUGCGAGUGUAGAGGUGAAAUUCGUAGAUAUUGGGAAGAACACCGGUGGCGAAGGCGGCUCUCUGGACCGAUACUGACGCUGAGGCGCGAAAGCGUGGGGAGCAAACAGG